CAAGACCUUGCGCUUUUGGAGCGGCCGAUGUCUGAUUAGCUAGUUGGUGAGGUAAAGGCUUACCAAGGCUUCGAUCAGUAGCUGGUCUGAGAGGACGACCAGCCACACUGGGACUGAGACACGGCCCAGACUCCUACGGGAGGCAGCAGUGGGGAAUUUUGGACAAUGGGGGCAACCCUGAUCCAGCCAUGCCGCGUGAGUGAAGAAGGCCUUCGGGUUGUAAAGCUCUUUCAGCCGGAACGAAAAGGUCACGGCUAAUACCCGUGACAAAUGACGGUACCGGAAGAAUAAGCACCGGCUAACUACGUGCCAGCAGCCGCGGUAAUACGUAGGGUGCAAGCGUUAAUCGGAAUUACUGGGCGUAAAGCGUGCGCAGUCGGUUUUGUAAGUCAGAUGUGAAAUCCCCGGGCUUAACCUGGGAACU
Molecule: ribosomal RNA, 424 nt
Filed under: uncultured beta proteobacterium
Lineage: Bacteria; Pseudomonadati; Pseudomonadota; Betaproteobacteria
Description: bacterial SSU rRNA
Rfam family: Bacterial small subunit ribosomal RNA
Source: RNAcentral